This 253-nucleotide ribosomal RNA is filed under the name uncultured bacterium. RNAcentral describes it as "partial 16S ribosomal RNA". It matches the Rfam family "Bacterial small subunit ribosomal RNA", at positions 524 to 776 of the family's 1533-position model. The record is from RNAcentral.
UACGUAGGGGGCAAGCGUUGUCCGGAAUCAUUGGGCGUAAAGAGCGCGUAGGCGGCCCUGUAAGUCCGCUGUGAAAGUCAAGGGCUCAACCCUUGAAUGCCGGUGGAUACUGCAGGGCUAGAGUCCGGAAGAGGCGAGUGGAAUUCCUGGUGUAGCGGUGGAAUGCGCAGAUAUCAGGAGGAACACCAAUAGCGAAGGCAGCUCGCUGGGACGGUACUGACGCUAAGGCGCGAAAGCGUGGGGAGCGAACAGG